Molecule: unclassified non-coding RNA, 558 nt
Filed under: Hevea brasiliensis (rubber tree)
Lineage: Eukaryota; Viridiplantae; Streptophyta; Magnoliopsida; Malpighiales; Euphorbiaceae
Source: RNAcentral
GAAAAAUCAACUCUUUUUUGUAUUCUUUUGGCCUUUGCGGUUAUCUAAAGCCAUCAUCAGUUGUUUGAAGUGAAAUCGAUCUUCUACAAUUCUAGGGUUUGAUAUUGUUUUUUUUCAAUUUCAGUAUAAAUGAAGCCGAUACGGUUACCGGAACCUCCAUCAAGUCCACGAGGAAUCGGCGGUGUGCCGGAUAUAUUUGAAGGUGGAGUUCAUGGUGUGAUUAGGCGAGCUGUUGUCAUCGGUAAUGGUUUUCCUGCUUCGGAGAAUCAAAGUAUUGGUCUGAUUCAAGCACUCGGCCUCUCUGAUAAGCACACUCUAUAUCGGGUUACUAGACCAAGAGGAGGAGUGAAUGAGUGGCUACACUGGCUUCCUGUAUCAUUACACAAAACGGUGUAUUACAUCAUAAGCCAGAUAUGUGGGAUUCUAUUGAGAAGAAGGACUAGAAAACUAGGAACUUUGCCUAUGGAAAAUGGUGGCAAUGUAGGCUUGUCAUCUAUUUUGGAAGCUGACGUGAAGAGUAUUGUUAGAAUGGCUCGCGAGACAUUUGAGAAGGAUGGU